This 497-nucleotide ribosomal RNA is filed under the name uncultured bacterium. RNAcentral describes it as "partial 16S ribosomal RNA". It matches the Rfam family "Bacterial small subunit ribosomal RNA", at positions 28 to 507 of the family's 1533-position model. The record is from RNAcentral.
GAUGAACGCUGGCGGCGUGCCUAAUACAUGCAAGUCGAGCGAACAGACGAGGAGCUUGCUCCUCUGACGUUAGCGGCGGACGGGUGAGUAACACGUGGAUAACCUACCUAUAAGACUGGGAUAACUUCGGGAAACCGGAGCUAAUACCGGAUAAUAUAUUGAACCGCAUGGUUCAAUAGUGAAAGACGGUUUUGCUGUCACUUAUAGAUGGAUCCGCGCCGCAUUAGCUAGUUGGUAAGGUAACGGCUUACCAAGGCAACGAUGCGUAGCCGACCUGAGAGGGGGAUCGGCCACACUGGAACUGAGACACGGGCCAGACUCCUACGGGAGGCAGCAGGAGGGAAUCUUCCGCAAUGGGCGAAAGCCUGACGGAGCAACGCCGCGUGAGUGAUGAAGGUCUUCGGAUCGUAAAACUCUGUUAAUAGGGAAGAACAAAUGUGUAAGUAACUAUGCACGUCUUGACGGUACCUAAUCAGAAAGCCACGGCUAACUACGUG